CUCUCUGCAGGUGCUGCUAUCACCACAGAGCAGCCCGAUUGCGGCUGGCGUGUGCCUGAGCUGGCUGUCCCUCUGGCCACAUGUCCGGUGCUACAGGGUCUUCAAGGGUGUGUGGGGCUGGGCAGCAUCCGCCAGGCCCAGGCCCCGGGAACUGAAGGUGUUUCCUCCACGUCAGCCUCUGCACCUCCUAAGCACACACCUGCUGCAGGUGCCGGGAGUCAGUGCCUGAGACACCUGAGGACGCCUCCUCCUUGAAGGCUGGAGUCGACUGACUGCAUCUUGUACUGAUUUUGCGGGGAUUUCUGGUCUUUUUUAUCCAAUGCACGCUGGUCCCCGCCGCUGCUGGAGUGAGGCUGGUUGUCUCUGAGUGGGCUCUGCACCCUCACAGCAGGCAUCCUGACCCCUUUCUUUCCCACUCCAAGCUCACAUGCUGGAUCCCGCACCACAGACAGCCCCGAGGCCGCGCUCACAAGACCAGAUGGCCAGCUCGCCAUUUCUACCUUUCGGUGUCCAGGAGUUUUUCUUUUGUCUUUACUUGUUUAUUGAGGAAUGAAGAGUCAAUGAAGACUGAUCAAGACACUGCCUUGAAAGGGUUUCAUGGGCAAAGAACAAAAGCAAAUCAAAGGGUUCAUCCAGGCAAGGGGCUGACGCUCUUCCCCUGUUGGGGAGGAGGAACAGAUGAGGGCGGGGAGGACACAGCCCAGGACUCACAAGGCCCUGCCGUCCACAUUUCCUGAGAACUGCGAAGCAUCGUGCAGCCACGAGUUUCCCCAGACACCAGCACCCAUCCCCAGGCCUGCGGGUCAGUGAUUCUAGCUCAUCUGAUGGGCCGUCCAUAGGGAAGGGAUGGGCCCGCAGACCUGCCUGUUUGGUUGAUUGAAGUGGGACCUCUUUCACGACGAACGCCAGAUUGAAAUUCAUCACAGCAAAUGCCUAAGUUUGGAGAACAAUAUAUUUAUAGUGAGCUGAUUAGAUAUCAGAUGCACCUUUUCUCAACAAGUCGUUCUCUCACCCGUCUGAUUUCUAACCUCCUGAAGAGCAAAACCUGUCACCGACCCAGGAGCAGCAGGCAGAAGAGAAAUUCCAAAACAUCCUGAAGAGCAAGAGGCUCUGUGGAAAAUACCAGGGCUUGUGCAGGCGGGGGAGCUCACCGCCCUGGGCCAGAAGCCCCUCACCUGGAGGCAGCGGGUGCUGCCCUGAGUCAGGGCCCACAGGAGGCUUCUGGGCACAGACACACCCUGCAGAGAGGGUCCUGCUGGAACGCUUUGACAUUUCUAGGAUCUGGACUGUCCACGGGGAGAGACCAGGAGGGCAUGAGAAAUACGCUGAGUUGGGGCCGGGUGCAGUGGCUCAUGCCUGUCAUCCUAGCACUUUGGGAGGCCAAGACGGGUGGAUCACAUGAGGCUAGGAGUUUGAGACCAGCUUGGCCAGCAUGAUGAAACCCCGUAUCUACUAAAAAUACAAAUAUUAGCUGGGCUUGAUGGUGCACACCUGUAGUCCCAGCUACUUGGGAGGCUGAAGCAGGAGAAUCACUUGAACUUGGGAGGCUGAGGCAGGAGAAUCACUUGAACUUGGGAGGCUGAGGCAGGAGAAUCACUUGAACCCAGGAGGCGGAGGAGGUUGCAGUGAGCAGAAAUCGUGCCACUGCUCUCCAGCCUGGGCUACAGAGUAAGACUCUGUCUCAAAAAGAAAAAAAAAAAGAAACACACUGAGUUGGAACUCACUAUAUCACAAACAUUGAGGCCUACUUGCAUAACACAGUUGUUCCAAGCAACAAAUGUCACCAAAUGCACGCACUGUCGCCCAGUGUGACGUUUCUAAGGUGAAUGCACAAUGCGAGGACAUGGAAGCCUGGAGGAUGCGGGAAAGGCGCGUGUGGCCUGUGCUGGGCACCUCCCAUCAGCCAGAUGCACCUGCGCUCCUGGAGGAUGUAGGAAAGGGGCAUGUGGCCUGUGCUGGGCACCUCCCGUCAGCCAGACGCUCCUGCACUCCCACCCCGGCCAUUCCCUUUCCUUUCUUCCGCCAACUCUUCACAUAGCCCAUGAUUUUGGGGGGAAGAAUUAUUUACCAAAUUUUUAAAUCCAUUUUUUCUUCCUCAAUCUAGACUAAUUUCUCAGGUCUGAGGCCUGGAAAGCUUUAUUCCCCAGGCCACUGAACUGCCCUCCUGGAGAGCGGGCCAGUGCUAUGAUUGCCUCUGAGGCCGUUUGAACCUGGAGCUCCCUUUCCUCUCCUACUAAAAUCCAGAAGAACGAGAGGUAAAUAAACAAGGCUCUCCCAGACAGCAUGGGGCAAUGAGCCUGUUUCCUGAAGUCCCAGUGGCCACACAGCUGAACCUUGCAAACUUCUUAUCAAACUCUCAGCCCAAGAACAAUUAGCCAGGAUCAACACCCCAGCAAAGGUCAUUUGGGUUUGGAUUACAAAUUGCCAUCACCUCAGAGAAGAGGAGAGGGGAUCUGUUUGAGAAGAAUGUUUCUCUGCAGCUAAGGAUUAGCAGGCAUCCACAAGCCCGCCCUGCAGAGAUCUUCGAAAGAUGGCUUGGCAUCUUCUUCCGAGCAAGCGCAGCUCUCAGGCCGGGCCUGAGCCUGCAGCCUGUGUGCCCUCCAUCAUCAGGGCCCCCUCUCAGGACAGGCUACACCGAGGGUGGGACGGCGGACUUCCAGGGACACUUCCAAGUCGUGCCCAUGCAGAUACCUCAGUAUACACUGCCCACAGUUAAGAAACCACGACCUGAGACAUUGUUUUGAAGAGGUGAAAAUGCCUCCACUCAAGUGGCCCAGGAGCGUGAUCCAGGAAGACGAACACACAGAACCAUCUUCUGCAUGGUUUGAAAAUUCAGUGGAAACUAGUAAUGCCUAUGCGGGUUCACUGAUGAGAGGGCCCUAUGAGCCAUCCAGAGAAAAGCUGCCAUAUUUCCCUUCCAGAAGACCUGCUUGCAGGCCUUGAAUUUUGAGAGUGUGGGGAAAGCAGUCAAGCCCGCGCGGAGCGAUUGUGAGGGGCUCUGCUGGAAUUUGGCAGCGCGGAGGCUUGGAGAGAAGCCCCAUGCUGGCUCCCAUUCAGCCGGCCCGUUUUCCUCGAGCUUUGGAAGUUUCACUCAGCCGUGCACUCAAUGGCUUCACAAAGCUGAUUACAAGCUUCAGCGCAUUCCUGAAGGAGCCAAAAGCGACGCAGGUGCAAACGAGCCGAGGGAGCCCCUUAUCCCGGUGACAGAAUGGGACAAGCUGGGAAAGGCUUAGACCACACAAGUCCAAGGCUCACCAGGCCGCAGAAAGCCUGCCUUGGGAACCGGGGGUCAUUAUCCGCCCUAUUCAGCGGGGCCCGGGGACCCUGGGGGCCGAGCGAGGCCAGCCCGGGCGGGAGCACCGCCGCCAGCGCGCGCCGGCGACAGGGGGGAACCCCGCUGGGCGCUGCGGCCAGGCCGGGGCUCAGGGCGCUGGGCUGUGCGUUUGCACAAAUCUGUGUUCCGGCGGGCCGGUGUCAACCCUAGUGGGGACACGGGAGAAAGAGCACGCCAGUAGGCCACGCGGCGCGUGGGCAGUGCGCAACUUCUGUCGGCGUCCAGGCUGUACGGCCACGUUUCAGCCGGUGCCCCCAGGCCAUGGACACCCAGCUCCAGGGUCGCUCUGCGCCCUUUCUCCCCAGCCCACCUUUCCCAUUGGUCCCCUCUCCUGUCCGAGUGGCAGCGCGGCCCCGCAGGGAGCGACCCCGGGAGGGACAGUGACCGCACGCGUGGAGUGGGGACGGCGGGGCACAGGACGGUAGUCUAAGAGUGUUCGCAUGGCCGAGGACGCUUUCGCUGCGAGUUUGGGGUCGAGGGGCAGUUCCCUCCCGGAGUCAUUAACUUCGUCUCCUCGUGCUCAGGGACCAGCAACUUGGUGCUGCGGGCGCCAGAAAGAAAAGGGUAGCGCCUCGCGGAGCGCGCGGGGGAAGAGGGACUGCGGCAGCGGGACGCGAGGGCGGGAGGGGCGCAGCAGCGGGGAGCCGGAGCGCAGCGGAGGGGAGCGCUGGGGGGCGGGGAGCGCUCGGGCAGCCACCCUGUCCCCGUCUGGAGCCCCGCGCUGCGUCUAGGAGGGCGCAACACGCAGUCCCCGCGGGGGCCAGAGCUCGGAGCCCCCUAGUGCAUGCCCCCUCUCCUCGCGCCCUGCCGAGGCCUCGGCCCUGCCUGCCGUGCCCUGGGCCUGGUUGUGCCCGGGGGUCCCCGCGGGCAGGGCGCGGGGCAGGCAGGGCGCGCGCGCCGACGCUCUUUUGUCUGAUAACUAAUUUGAGUUAAUGCGAUCUUUAUGUAAAGCUAACAGCGGAUAAUUGUCUAUUUUCUCGCCAACAGUCUCCAUCACAAUCACUUAUCUGGAAACCUGCGGUUGGAUUAAUCGUUAUAUUCCCGAGAUGAGCGUCGCUGCAAUCCGCAGCGAACGCGGGUAGGGACCUGGAGACGCCUCCCGGGCGCUGGCGGGGCCGGUGUGGGCCAGCUCCGCUACCGCCUGAGACGCGGUGUGCCCAGGUGUUGGUGCCCGCGGGAGAGGGCUGUGGGGCGCCUUCCCCAGGAUUUGCUUGACUUGCUUUUCGCUCGAGUGGGUGGUGCGCGGGUGCGGGAGGCGGAGGGAGGAGGAGGGGUGAGGGGAGGAGGGCCUGUGGGGCUGCGGACCCGGAGCAGCCUGGGUGGAGCGCGGCCUCGGGAGGCCCUGGGUGCAUCGCGGCGGGGCCUGGGGGGGCCCAGGCGCCGGAGGAGCCGUCGGUGCCGGAAUGCAGCGUGUUUCACUUGGGAGAAACGUUGCCCUCGGUCCCUUGCCUCCCUCCUGUUGUCUCGGUUUUUCUGGCUUCGUCCUUCGUCCCACCCACCCGUUCCCACCUCAGGUCCCUCCCCCAGGAUCCCCUCCUUAAGGAUCCAGGUCUCUGAAAAUUAUUGGCAACAGUUACACGCCCCACGAUUGAAAUCCACAAGAGAAGAGUCCCAGUUCUGCAGGCCGCUCCAGGGCUAGGGGUAGAGAUGGUGGCAGGUGGUGCGUCAACUCUCUAGGGAAGAGGAACUUGCAUUACAAAGACUUGUCUUUCUGAGCUGAAGUCAAAACGGGGGCGUCAAGCGCGCUCCGUUUGGCGGCGGUGGAGGGGCCGCGCGCCCGCGCUGUCCCAGCCGGAGCUGCCCUGGCUGGUGAUUGGAGGUUUAACGUCCGGAAUUCAGGCGCUUCUGCAGCUCAGAUUUGCCGGCCAAGGGGCCUCAGUUGCAACUUUUCAAAAUGGUGUUUCUGGAAAAUAACAAAUUCAGACUCAACUGGUGACAGCUUUUGGCUAUAGAGAAUGAAACUGCUUCCCUUUGGCGGUGGAACUCUUAAACUUCGAAGAGUGAAAGAAUACAAUGAAAUAAAAUGCCAUAAGAUCACUGGAUUUUUCAGAAAAAGGAAGACCCCAAAUUACUCCCAAAAUGAGGCUUUGUAAAUUCUUGUUAAAAAUCUUUAAAUCUCGAAUUUCCCCCUACAACAUCUGAUGAGUGCUUUAAGAGCAAACGAGCAAAUCCCACCUCGAGAAUCAACAAACCCAAGCUCUGGCCAAGGCUCUCCCCGCGUUUUCUUCUCGUGACCUGGGGAAUGUCCCGCCCCAUCGCUCACCUGGCUCUUGUCAUCUCGCUCAUCUUGAAGUGACCCGUGGACAAUGCUGCUCCCUGCCGCAGCUCC
This 5663-nucleotide long non-coding RNA is filed under the name Homo sapiens (human). RNAcentral describes it as "HSALNT0207066". Lineage: Eukaryota; Metazoa; Chordata; Mammalia; Primates; Hominidae. The record is from RNAcentral.